ACGAAGAGACGAAGCUGCCUGCUGAGAAAAAUAGAAGAAUGGAAGACAGUCGUAUCGAUGGCUCUCGUGUACUACGUAGUGGUUUAUACAACAGACAGUUGAUUGGCGUGCCGACUUCGUUACGCGUGUGCGUUCGUAAUGAUAAGAGUGGCUUAUAGCUUUCUUGAAAAUCACCAACCGACCAAGGACGGCGGUUAGGACAUCCUGUGGCAAAUAAAAUAAUAAAAAAAAAGUACAGGAAAUAUCCCUUCGAGUGCGAGAUAGUCUGAUUUAUGGCGCAAAUAGCAGAGGUUAUCCGGCGCCGUUGGAAAUUCAGUGAUUCAUUGGUGCUCGCGAAAAGCCCUGGUGCGGUGCCUCGUUUAUGGCACGAUAGUGUAAGGGCAGUCGCGACGUCGGACGCCUACGCAAAACUUGACAUUGCGGGAGGAGCGUGUCUCUGAGUUAGAUUUUAGGAAGUGGUGAGAGAGACAGAGAGAGAGAGAGAGAGAGAGAGAGAGAGAGAGAGAGAGAGAGAGAGAGAGAGAGAGAGAGAGAGAGAGAGAGAGAGAGAGAGAGAGUGAGAAAGAGAAUAGGGGGACUGGUUGGUUAACUGCGAGUGGAAGGGGGACGGAGUCGUAAAUGAAGAAAAACAAAGAAUCGGAUGAAAAGGAAGUAAAGAAUGGUGGACGGGAGAGAAGCUACUCGGACAAAACCUGCCUGUAAGAAUCGGGAUCAGCCUGUCUCAGAUGAACCUCGAUGUCCCGUGUCCUUGGAGAUCUGACCAGCUCACGAAGUUUGACCAAACCUGUUGAAACAAAUUUUUUGUUACAUGUAACUUUAUUUUUUUUUUCAAAUUUCUCACGUCAAAUACCAUCCACUCCACAUUCGACUCAUCGGCAGGUAGAGUGACUCGUUUCGCUAGUUAAAUGGACGGAAACCUGUAAAUCGCGACAGCCGAUGAAAUCAAUACUGGCACGCGUCUAAGUAAUCAAGGUAUCAUCUCAACUUGUGGGUCUUCGCCGAGGUUCGCCGGUUCGUUCCCCUCCAAGUUUACGCGAAACUCCAAGAGACAGGGUUGAAUAAACCCUGGGGUUAGGGGGUGGUCGGGCAGGGCCAGAUAGUGAGUCCACCAAGUGAAAUCAGUUUGAGUUGACUCGAGUCAACUUGAAUUGCGUAAAUAAAGACUCGUGGUGGUUUUAUCGCUUUGAUGGAAAUUCAGCGAAAUGAUGCUGGGAUCGGUAUACGAGGACGAGCCAGGAGGAAAGAGUUGUUUACUGUGUGUAUGUAAAAUAUACCAGACCCGUUAUAUACAUGACUAUCCUUCCCCCUUUAUACGGAUAAGUUUACUAUGUUAAUUUAACAAAUUUUUAUUUACAUCAGCAAAGUUACGCGAGUCAUGAGUUUUUUUGGAUAUACGUGAAUAAUUCAAUAUGGCGCUUGAUUUCGUUUGGAUUCAUUUUUUUAACUGUGGAGCAGUUGGUACUGCCGUGAAUGGCUGCUGAUGAGGACUCGACAAACUCGCUGAUAAAUCAAUGAAGGACCAGGCAGGAUGUUCGAAAUAUGUGGAAGCUCCGCGACCAAGAAGUGCCCCAGGAUAAUGGACCGAAUGAGCUGCGAUUUUGGAAGAAAAAAAAGAACACUGUCAAGGACCAGGGGUAAUUUCUCCAGGGAGAAAAAGUGUGCCGUAUAGGUGGUCCUGAGGCGGAGAAAGAAAAACAAGAGACUGGAGGAGCGAAAGCAGAAAUAGAAAAGAGACGGGAGAAGAUUGAAGCGAUUGAGAUGUACCAAGGAUAUUAAUGGAGCUCCUUGAGGAUCGGACAUUUCCCACGGGAGGGCGCUGGCUUUUCUGGGAAGAGUCCUGGCAAAUCAGGAUAACGAUACCGUAAAGGAUCUCAGAAUGGAGAGAAUCGUAAAGUUCUGCGGUUGGUAAUCGAGAGAGCAUUGAUGUGGCCAUUUUUUGCCCUUUCCGCCUUUUUUUUCCCUUCCUUUCUCCCUCUCUUUUCCUUUCAUCCCUCAUACAAGUCUUCGUAAAACUCCUCCGAGCCCAGGACGGGGAUGGUGCCUCUUUACGAUUACGAUUACCGUACGCAAUAUCGCGGCGUUAACUUUAUUUACGAGGGGUAAUUGAAGCCCUCGCAAUGUUUUAUUAUUCCGUCCCCCCCCCCCAAUGAGGCGGUGGAGAGGAGGGGUUGGCGGGAACCAAGCUGCGAGCAAAAUUGCGCACGGAUACGGAGAUGCCCUCCUGGCCGUUAAGUCGCCUGUCUUUUUUCGCAGCCUCCGUAAGAAUUGGUACUCGGAUCCGGGAGGGGAUGAAAACUUUAGGAGAUUGUCCCUCGGGAAUAAGCGAUGUAAGGGUGGCGAUGAAAAUCUAGAGGAUCGGAUUUAGGCUGGUUCGCGUUGAUUUAAGUUUUAAAAUGCCGUCUUAUCCCAUCUCGGGCGUAGCCAGGGAUGCUGGGAGGGAUGAGAUCCUGGGCGACGGACAAAUCGAAAAUUUUAAUACGGACGAGCAAAGGGAUGAAAAUAGAAAUGGACGGUACACGCAAGUGCGAAAUGAAUUUUGGUAUCUUGGCAACCCGUAAGAUUGGCUCUUGCCAAUGAGAACCGCACGGCAAUAAAUUGGCAAAGGGAACCGAUCUUGCGAUAAGAAUUAUUAUCCUUCGUUGAUAUGUUUAUGCGAAAUUACGAUCGUAUUGUUAUUCACCUGUUAGACAAAUUGGAUAAAUUAAAUUUUUAUAUCCGUGUCUGUGUAGCAGUUCUUAAGUAGACAUAUACCUGUGUAACAUUCA
This is a long non-coding RNA of Cephus cinctus (wheat stem sawfly), 2765 nucleotides long. RefSeq lists it as uncharacterized. The record is from RefSeq and is a predicted model, not a curated record. The transcript has 3 exons. NCBI's taxonomy places the organism in Eukaryota, Metazoa, Arthropoda, Insecta, Hymenoptera, Cephidae.